UUUGAGAGAUUGGGGGGAA
RNAcentral lists this unclassified non-coding RNA (19 nucleotides) under Encephalitozoon intestinalis. Its description in RNAcentral is "16S-23S ribosomal RNA intergenic spacer". The record is from RNAcentral. Lineage: Eukaryota; Fungi; Microsporidia; Unikaryonidae. RNAcentral also lists the same sequence under 1 other name.